GCUGUCUCUGGGAAUUAUGUCUCGACAAAUGCGAAAUUUGAUGUGGCUUAUGAUCAUUUGUUGUUCUACAUGCCAGAUAAGCAGUUCUGAAAAUCAGAUCAAAAUCGACAUCCAAGUCUGUUUGACUGAUGAAUAUUUCUGGAACAGAAGUAGCUCACCAUAUCCAGAUAAUAACAUAUAUAAUUUUUACAUAAAUGUCAAACUAAACAUCGAGCCUGUUAAUCCUGGAGAGAAAUGUAAAAAUGUGGUAUAUGACAAAGGUCUAUGCAGCGG
Molecule: long non-coding RNA, 273 nt
Organism: Carassius carassius (crucian carp)
Lineage: Eukaryota; Metazoa; Chordata; Actinopteri; Cypriniformes; Cyprinidae
Exons: 3
Source: RefSeq, a predicted model, not a curated record